AAAAGGUGGCUAUGCUACCGCUUUUGGAUGGGCCCGCGGCGCAUUAGCUAGUUGGUGGGGUAAAGGCUUACCAAGGCAAUGAUGCGUAGCCGAACUGAGAGGUUGAUCGGCCACAUUGGGACUGAGACACGGCCCAAACUCCUACGGGAGGCAGCAGUAGGGAAUCUUCCACAAUGGGCGAAAGCCUGAUGGAGCAACGCCGCGUGGGUGAAGAAGGUCUUCGGAUCGUAAAACCCUGUUGUUAGAGAAGAAAGUGCGUGAGAGUAACUGUUCACGUUUCGACGGUAUCUAACCAGAAAGCCACGGCUAACUACGUGCCAGCAGCCGCGGUAAUACGUAGGUGGCAAGCGUUAUCCGGAUUUAUUGGGCGUAAAGGGAACGCAGGCGGUCUUUUAAGUCUGAUGUGAAAGCCUUCGGCUUAACCGGAGUAGUGCAUUGGAAACUGGGAGACUUGAGUGCAGAAGAGGAGAGUGGAACUCCAUGUGUAGCGGUGAAAUGCGUAGAUAUAUGGAAGAACACCAGUGGCGAAAGCGGCUCUCUGGUCUGUAACUGACGCUGAGGUUCGAAAGCGUGGGUAGCAAACAGGAUUAGAUACCCUGGUAGUCCACGCCGUAAACGAUGAAUG
Molecule: ribosomal RNA, 625 nt
Filed under: uncultured bacterium
Lineage: Bacteria
Description: bacterial SSU rRNA
Rfam family: Bacterial small subunit ribosomal RNA
Source: RNAcentral